UACGUAGGUCCCGAGCGUUGUCCGGAUUUAUUGGGCGUAAAGCGAGCGCAGGUGGUUUAUUAAGUCUGAUGUGAAAGCCCGGAGCUCAACUCCGGAAUGGCAUUGGAAACUGGUUAACUUGAGUGCAGUAGAGGUAAGUGGAACUCCAUGUGUAGCGGUGGAAUGCGUAGAUAUAUGGAAGAACACCAGUGGCGAAGGCGGCCUUCUGGCCUUAACCUGACGCUGAGGAGCGAAAGCUAGGGGAGCAAACGGG
Molecule: ribosomal RNA, 253 nt
Filed under: uncultured microorganism
Description: partial 16S ribosomal RNA
Rfam family: Bacterial small subunit ribosomal RNA
Source: RNAcentral